RNAcentral lists this ribosomal RNA (497 nucleotides) under uncultured bacterium. Its description in RNAcentral is "partial 16S ribosomal RNA". It matches the Rfam family "Bacterial small subunit ribosomal RNA", at positions 28 to 507 of the family's 1533-position model. The record is from RNAcentral.
GAUGAACGCUGGCGGCGUGCCUAAUACAUGCCAGUCGAGCGAACAGACGAGGAGCUUGCUCCUCUGACGUUAGCGGCGGACGGGUGAGUAACACGUGGAUAACCUACCUAUAAGACUGGGAUAACUUCGGGAAACCGGAGCUAAUACCGGAUAAUAUAUUGAACCGCAUGGUUCAAUAGUGAAAGACGGUUUUGCUGUCACUUAUAGAUGGAUCCGCGCCGCAUUAGCUAGUUGGUAAGGUAACGGCUUACCAAGGCAACGAUGCGUAGCCGACCUGAGAGGGUGAUCGGCCACACUGGAACUGAGACACGGUCCAGACUCCUACGGGAGGCAGCAGUAGGGAAUCUUCCGCAAUGGGCGAAAGCUUGACGGAGCAACGCCGCGUGAGUGAUGAAGGUCUUCGGAUCGUAAAACUCUGUUAUUAGGGAAGAACAAAUGUGUAAGUGACUAUGCACGUCUUGACGGUACCUAAUCAGAAAGCCACGGCUAACUACGUG